AGUUGGUCUGAGAGGACGACCAGCCACACUGGGACUGAGACACGGCCCAGACUCCUACGGAGGCAGCAGUGGGGAAUUUUGGACAAUGGGCGCAAGCCUGAUCCAGCAAUGCCGCGUGCAGGAAGAAGGCCUUCGGGUUGUAAACUGCUUUUGUCAGGGAAGAAAUCUUCUGGGUUAAUACCCCGGGAGGAUGACGGUACCUGAAGAAUAAGCACCGGCUAACUACGUGCCAGCAGCCGCGGUAAUACGUAGGGUGCGAGCGUUAAUCGGAAUUACUGGGCGUAAAGCGUGCGCAGGCGGCUUUGCAAGACAGAGGUGAAAUCCCCGGGCUCAACCUGGGAACUGCCUUUGUGACUGCAAGGCUAGAGUACGGCAGAGGGGGAUGGAAUUCCGCGUGUAGCAGUGAAAUGCGUAGAUGUGCGGAGGAACACCAAUGGCGAAGGCAAUCCCCUGGGGCCUGUACUGACGCUCAUGCACGAAAGCGUGGGGAGC
RNAcentral lists this ribosomal RNA (492 nucleotides) under uncultured bacterium. Its description in RNAcentral is "bacterial SSU rRNA". It matches the Rfam family "Bacterial small subunit ribosomal RNA", at positions 285 to 769 of the family's 1533-position model. The record is from RNAcentral.